GGAGGCGUGGUGUAGAGGCCUAACAUGCGGCCCUGUCACGGCCGAGAUCGCGGGUUCGAAUCCCGUCGCCUCCGCCAGAC
This 80-nucleotide transfer RNA is filed under the name Symbiobacterium thermophilum IAM 14863. RNAcentral describes it as "tRNA-Asp". It matches the Rfam family "tRNA". From Rfam's summary of the family: Transfer RNA (tRNA) molecules are approximately 80 nucleotides in length. Their secondary structure includes four short double-helical elements and three loops (D, anti-codon, and T loops). Lineage: Bacteria; Bacillati; Bacillota; Clostridia; Eubacteriales; Symbiobacteriaceae. The record is from RNAcentral.